Molecule: unclassified non-coding RNA, 378 nt
Filed under: uncultured Pseudomonadota bacterium
Lineage: Bacteria; Pseudomonadati; Pseudomonadota
Description: uncultured proteobacterium contains 16S-23S intergenic spacer region
Source: RNAcentral
UCCGAGUUGACCCCGGCGGUCUCCCAUGAGCCCCCACCACUACGUGCUGGCAACAUGGAACGAGGGUUGCGCUCGUUGCGGGACUUAACCCAACAUCUCACGACACGAGCUGACGACAGCCGUGCAGCACCUGUCUUACGGUUCCCGAAGGCACCAAUCCAUUUCUGGAAAGUUCCGUAGAUGUCAAGACCAGGUAAGGUUCUUCGCGUUGCAUCGAAUUAAACCACAUGCUCCACCGCUUGUGCGGGCCCCCGUCAAUUCCUUUGAGUUUUAACCUUGCGGCCGUACUCCCCAGGCGGCGUGCUUAAAGCGUUAGCGACGACACCGGACACCUAGGGUGCCCAACGUCUAGCACGCAUCGUUUAGGGCGUGGACUAC